RNAcentral lists this ribosomal RNA (253 nucleotides) under uncultured bacterium. RNAcentral describes it as "partial 16S ribosomal RNA". It matches the Rfam family "Bacterial small subunit ribosomal RNA", at positions 524 to 776 of the family's 1533-position model. The record is from RNAcentral.
UACGUAGGGUGCAAGCGUUGUCCGGAAUUAUUGGGCGUAAAGAGCUCGUAGGCGGUUUGUCGCGUCUGCUGUGAAAACUCGGGGCUUAACUCCGGGCCUGCAGUGGGUACGGGCAGACUAGAGUGCGGUAGGGGAGAUCGGAAUUCCUGGUGUAGCGGUGAAAUGCGCAGAUAUCAGGAGGAACACCGGUGGCGAAGGCGGAUCUCUGGGCCGUAACUGACGCUGAGGAGCGAAAGCAUGGGGAGCGAACAGG